CUCAACCGGGAGAGGUCGGGGGAAACUACGGGGCUUGAGCCUCGGAGGGGAGAGUGGAACUUCCGGAGUAGCGGUGAAAUGCGCAGAUACCGGAAGGUACCUCGAUAGCGAAGGCAGCUCUCUGGCCGAGUGCUGACGCUGAAGCGCGAAAGCGUGGGGAGCGAACCGGAUUAGAUACCCGGGUAGUCCACGCCCCAAACGAUGCCGACUAGGUGUUGGCUCCUUUAACCGCGGGCCAGUGCCGCAGCUAACGCGAUAAGUCGGCCGCCUGGGGACUACGGCCGCAAGGCUAAAACUCAAGGGAAUUGACGGGGCCCCGCACAAGCGGUGGAGCACGUGGUUCAAUUCGAUGAUAAGCGAAGAACCUCACCCGGGCUUGACAUGUACGUGGUACCGAUCCGAAAGGGGAGGGACCGUUCUCUUCGGAGAGCGGAGCG
RNAcentral lists this ribosomal RNA (437 nucleotides) under uncultured bacterium. RNAcentral's name for it is "bacterial SSU rRNA". It matches the Rfam family "Bacterial small subunit ribosomal RNA", at positions 608 to 1034 of the family's 1533-position model. The record is from RNAcentral.